Molecule: long non-coding RNA, 1705 nt
Organism: Nicotiana tabacum (common tobacco)
Lineage: Eukaryota; Viridiplantae; Streptophyta; Magnoliopsida; Solanales; Solanaceae
Source: RefSeq, a predicted model, not a curated record
CAGUAAAAGGGUUGACAGUACUAAAAAAUAGAGAAUUCCGAGCGAAACUUUCCGACCGAAAAUUAUAGUCGGAAAUUUCCAACGGUUUCGGUCGGAAAAGCAAAAAAAAAAUAUUGUUCAAUUUUUUUAUUAUAAUAUUUCGACCAUAUUCCGACAAUGUUAGUCACAAAGUUUUGGCGCAAAAAAUCGGAAAAGUUGUUUGCGACCGAUUGAGUCGGUGCUUGAAAGUCAAACCAGUUUUAACUUUUCGACUGAAACGAUAGGAAAUUAAUAAAAUAUAUAUAUUUAUUUUUUUAGUUUUUCCAAACGAUUUGGUCGGAAACCAUUUUAAAAUAUCCUGUCAGUAUAUAACCGACCAAAUCGAUCGGAAAAAUAGCGAAAUUUUGAAUUUUAAUUUUUUUACCGACCGAUCCGUCGGAAAUGCUAUUUAUAACCCUGCCCUGACCCCUAUAUUCUUUUUUCUUUCUCUUCUAUUACACUAUUUGGUCACCUCGCCAAUCGUCGUCGCCCACCUUUACUCAAAUUUCUGACGGCAGUGGAGUAAUUCGGCGGUGUGCAUCUUCUCCGGCGAGGUAAGUUCUUCCUUCAUUCCUUCUCCAGCCUUGAAUGUUACUAUAUUUUUUCUUUUUGUUUGUAUUGUAAUUAAAAUUAGUAUUUUUUUUUUAGUUUGAAUAUUGAUAAGAUUAGAAUUGAAAUUAGGGUUGAAAUGAAAGAAUAAGUUAUUCUUUAACCUUGAAUAACUAUGGUUCAGAGCCUUGAGUAACAUGAAAAUUAAGCUUCCUUUGGAUAAAAAAAUUAGAAGUGAAUGAAAUUUGAGAUAGAUUUUUUUUCAAUAGGAGAAAUCUUCAAUUUGUAUUGUAAUUUAUAUAUAUUCUGGAAUUAGAAAUAAAACUAUUCAAUCUUGACUUUAUUUUCACAUUGUAAUUUACAUAUGUUAUUAAAUUAGGAAUAAAUGUUGUUUGAAUUUUGUGUCUUGUGCUUUGAUUUUCUAUUUAAGUUGGGAUAGGAAACAAAGGAAAGAUUUGUGUGCAAGCUUAAAUACUUAACUUUUAAUCAAAAAAAGUAUAACUAUAGUUUAUAUUUUGCAACUAUCGUCCGAAGAUAUGACUUUAAUAUGGAGACAGGCAGCCGGUGGAGUAAAUAAAGGUAUAUCUUUUUUAGUAAUAUUAUUUUGCACAAGUUGUAUGUUUCUUCUCUUGCUCAUUUUACUUUUUUUUGAUUCUCAUGAAAAUAAAUAAAGAUAGAGUCAAACUUGAAGUACAACCAUUGUCCAGUUGUCCAACUGCAUUACUCAGUGGUGCUUCUGCUUCACCUGAAGAAAUUGAGACUAUGCAGACAUAAAUCAAUGAAUUAACACAACAAUGAAACAUUACUCAAGAAAUAAUAAGUAUGAUGCGUAUAUUCAUGGAAAAGCAUGGCAACCAACGUACAAUGGAGGAAUCUAACAAUGGGGAGAUUGAAAUCGACGAGGAGUAGUAAUUUGGAAUGAUCAUGAUAUUUAGACAUGACUACUUUUGACUUGGUUGGUUUUAGACUUGGAUUAUGUGUUUUAGACUUGAAUAUCAUUUGGUUGAAACUUUUAGACUUUAAUAUGUCUUAAUAAAUGCGUUUUACACUUGUUUGAAGGUGUUGUAAUAUUUACUAGUUUAAUAUUUGAUAUUUUAGGUUCAAUUGAUUGAGCAAUUUUGAUAUAUAUUAGGUUGAA